This 497-nucleotide ribosomal RNA is filed under the name uncultured bacterium. RNAcentral describes it as "partial 16S ribosomal RNA". It matches the Rfam family "Bacterial small subunit ribosomal RNA", at positions 28 to 507 of the family's 1533-position model. The record is from RNAcentral.
GAUGAACGCUGGCGGCGUGCCUAAUACAUGCAAGUCGAGCGAAUGGACGAGACGUUCGCCUGUAUGAUGUUAGCGGCGGAUGGGUGAGGAAUAUGUGUCUAACCUAUAUAUAGGACUGGGAUAAUUUCGGGAAACCGGAGACAACACAGGAUAAUAUUUAGAACCGCAUGGUUCAUAAGACAAAUACGGUCCUGAUGUCACUUAUACAUGGAUCCGCGAUGCAUUAGCAAGUUGGUAAGGUAACGGCGUACCAAGGCAACGAUGCUUAGCUGAACUGAGAGGGUGAUCGGUCACACUGGAACUGAGACACGGUCCAGACUCCUACGGGAGGCAGCAGUGGGGAAUCUUCCACAAUGGGCGAAAGCCUGACGGAGCAACGCCGCGUGAGUGAAGAAGGUCUUCGGAUCGUAAAGCUCUGUUAGUCGGGAAGAACGUAUGUGAGAGUAUCUGUGCACAUCUUGACGGUACCAAAUCAAAAAGCCACGGCUAACUACGUG